GAGUUUGAUCGUGGCUCAGGACGAACGCUGGCGGCGUGCCUAAUACAUGCAAGUCGAGCGAGGGUUUUCGGACCCUAGCGGCGGACGGGUGAGUAACACGUAGGCAACCUGCCUCUCAGACCGGGAUAACAUAGGGAAACUUAUGCUAAUACCGGAUAGGUUUUUGGAUUGCAUGAUCCGAAAAGAAAAGAUGGCUUUUGGCUAUCACUGGGAGAUGGGCCUGCGGCGCAUUAGCUAGUUGGUGGGUAACGGCCUACCAAGGCGACGAUGCGUAGCCGACCUGAGAGGGUGACCGGCCACACUGGGACUGAGACACGGCCAGACUCCUACGGGAGGCAGCAGUAGGGAAUUUUCCACAAUGGACGAAAGUCUGAUGGAGCAACGCCGCGUGAACGAUGAAGGUCUUCGGAUUGUAAAGUUCUGUUGUCAGGGACGAACACGUACCGUUCGAAUAGGGCGGUACCUUGACGGUACCUGACGAGGAAGCCACGGCUAACUACGUGCCAGCAGCCGCGGU
This 517-nucleotide ribosomal RNA is filed under the name uncultured microorganism. RNAcentral's name for it is "bacterial SSU rRNA". It matches the Rfam family "Bacterial small subunit ribosomal RNA", at positions 9 to 521 of the family's 1533-position model. The record is from RNAcentral.